CCGCGGUCACACUGCACACGAAAGCUAACCGAGCGGGGCUGCCGCCGCCCGCCCAAAAUUUGCCCCAUCGUCGCUGCGUGCGCGGCGCGUCUUUUACGAACAGCAGGAUUAAACACGGUGCAUAAAUGAAAAACAUAUUGUGAAUAGAAAUUUGUAUUUUAUUAAGGCCGGUGAGGAAUUAGUGCUUAAUGGAGAGUGUAUAAAUCGAUAGACAGUGUGUGUAAAUCCUUAAAGGAGAAAAUUACUCUUAAAUAACCAUGAGUAACUAUAUAUAAUUGCCUCAUGUAAAGAACAAGAAGUGCACAAGGAAAAAAAAACAAAGUGUAGCGGCAGCGCGCGGCGUCUCAUCGUCAACGCGGCGUCAAGCGAAAGUAAUGGAAUGGGAACCACAGCCAUCCACCGUCGGCUCUGUGACGAAGCCAGCUGCGACGCCAGCGUCAACAGCGUGCAGACAAUCCGAAUUUCUUUGGAUGCUGUUGGACUAACGAUGUUUCGGCGGGGUUGGUGCGGUGAUGUUGAUGCUGCUGCUGGUGGGUGGUAUUGGUGUUGGUGCGGUGUUGUUUAUUGCUUUCUGUGUAGACACUCGAAAUACCAGCUAGUAGAUUCGCAAGAGAAACUGUAAAAUAACUGCAUUUGAAUGAUGUUUCGACGUCAUCACCUGCUCCUACUCCCACUACUCGUCCUCCGUCCAAGAGCAACAAACAAUUGAAUGGUAAUGAGCGUGAACCCCACCCCCAAUCCCAAUGUUUUUGCUUGUCGAUUUGUGACUGUGUGAUUCCAAUUAGAAUGUCUGAUUGGGAGAGUGUGAUGCUAGAGAGAGAGAGAGAGAGUGUGAUACUAGAGAGAGAGAGAGUCAGAGCGGUGUGGUGCGUUGCGGCACUGCCGCGGCUUCGAUAUCGAUCCGUAUCCGCACUAGAGCACAUAGCCUUUGGGCAACAUAAUCCAACGGAGCGGGAUUAGGGUUACGCAAACGUGCCACAUCCGACGCCUACGUGCAGCUUUAACUGCGACGCAGGCUCUUGCAUUACCGGUCACCGGUAAUUUGCCGACAAGGCCGGCAGAGCUGUCGCGUCUUGUUGCGAGGCAACAGCCAUCUGCUUCUGCUUCAGCGGCGUGAAAGUUUAGACUCAUUAAAUGCAGCUCCACAGCAGUGAAACUUCAGGCAUAACGGUACAACCCGGCAUCAGGCACCGCGGUAGCAGCAGCAGUGCUGUCUUGAAAUUUCCAUAUAAAGCCAAAAUCUAAAGACCACAAAUAAAACGAUGACGUUUAUCAGAUUAAAUCAGGGAAAUAAUAAACAUUUUCAGAAAACGAACUAAGGGUAGAGAAGGAGGAGAAAAUUGUGCCAAACGUAAUUUAAAUUCUAGGAAAAUUAAAAAAAAAAGUUUGCCAAAGUAACUCCAAAGCAAAGCAGAAUAUAAACUUGAACGUAUAAUGAACUAGUAGUAAACAAAAAUGGAUCGAAAAUAAUAAACCUUGAUAUUUUGGCAUUUUAAUUUAAAUUUCAAACAAAAAGAAACGAGAGAUCUUAUGCCUUGGCGGCUCUCAAAAGUGAGACUGAACGAGCAAAUAAUGGAAUGACUGUAUGCAGAUCACUCUAAAUUACUUUUAAAAAUCGCAAUAAUUAUUCACUAUUUUAAUACCUUUUUUGAUUUUGCAAAGUCAUUAAAAGGCUAUAAAUAACAAAACAAUAAAAUACGUAUUCAAAUGGACAGAAAACGGCCACCUAAGUAUUGGCGAGAAAAAAGGCUAAAUUAGUUACACUGAAACAGAGAGCAAAGUCAGGCAUGGCCGCUCUCUCUUUCUCUUUUUCUCUCUCUCUCUCUCUCUCUCUCUCUCUCUAUCUCUCUCUCUCUCUCUGUUUUGCGAGAAAGUGUUUGUAAAACCCUCAAAAGAUUUAACCAUAGACAAGAAAAAUGCUAAUGCAACCAAGCGUGAAGCUUUGUAAAGCUCUCCCAAUACCAGUGCGUAUUUUUGUACCGUUUCAACGUUUAAUCUUUAAAGUGCAACCAAGAGAAAAAAAUCAAGCAAUAAAAGAAGAAGAGCUUUGAAGAGCAAAAGCAGCAAAAUAAUAAGUGAAACCCGUAAACCAAACAUAAAGCUGGCAACUCUGCCAACCGUAGCGCAACGGCUACGGCAAACUAAGCUAAGCAGCGGCGUCAGCAUCGACGUCUGACUGCAGCCAGAGGUCGCGCUGGCAACAAAAUUGCGGUAUGUGUUCUU
Molecule: long non-coding RNA, 2223 nt
Filed under: Drosophila guanche
Lineage: Eukaryota; Metazoa; Arthropoda; Insecta; Diptera; Drosophilidae
Source: RNAcentral